CACUCCUACGGGAGGCAGCAGUGGGGAAUUUUGGACAAUGGGCGAAAGCCUGAUCCAGCCAUGCCGCGUGCAGGAUGAAGGCCUUCGGGUUGUAAACUGCUUUUGUACGGAACGAAACGGCCUUUUCUAAUAAAGAGGGCUAAUGACGGUACCGUAAGAAUAAGCACCGGCUAACUACGUGCCAGCAGCCGCGGUAAUACGUAGGGUGCAAGCGUUAAUCGGAAUUACUGGGCGUAAAGCGUGCGCAGGCGGUUAUGUAAGACAGUUGUGAAAUCCCCGGGCUCAACCUGGGAACUGCAUCUGUGACUGCAUAGCUAGAGUACGGUAGAGGGGGAUGGAAUUCCGCGUGUAGCAGUGAAAUGCGUAGAUAUGCGGAGGAACACCGAUGGCGAAGGCAAUCCCCUGGACCUGUACUGACGCUCAUGCACGAAAGCGUGGGGAGCAAACAGGAUUAGAAACCCCUGUAGUCCCAG
This 473-nucleotide ribosomal RNA is filed under the name uncultured organism. RNAcentral's name for it is "partial 16S ribosomal RNA". It matches the Rfam family "Bacterial small subunit ribosomal RNA", at positions 334 to 799 of the family's 1533-position model. The record is from RNAcentral.